Perca fluviatilis (European perch) is the source of this 1015-nucleotide long non-coding RNA. RefSeq lists it as uncharacterized. The transcript has 3 exons. The record is from RefSeq and is a predicted model, not a curated record. NCBI's taxonomy places the organism in Eukaryota, Metazoa, Chordata, Actinopteri, Perciformes, Percidae.
GUUAUAUACAUUAUACCACACCAGGUACUCUCUCGCAGUAGUUAUAUACAUUAUACCACACCAGGUACUCUCUCGCAGUAGUUAUAUACAUUAUACCACACCAGGUACUCUCUCGCAGUAGUUAUAUACAUUAUACCACACCAGGUACUCUCUCGCAGUAGUUAUAUACAUUAUACCACACCAGGUACUCUCUUGCAGUAGUUAUAUAUAUUAUACCACACCAGGUACUCUCUAGCAGUAGUUAUAUACAUUAUACCACACCAGGUACUCUCUUGCAGUAGUUAUAUAUAUUAUACCACACCAGGUACUCUCUCGCAGUAGUUAUAUACAUUAUACCACACCAGGUACUCUCUCGCAGUAGUUAUAUACAUUAUACCACACCAGGUACUCUCUCGCAUUAGUUAUAUACAUUAUACCACACCAAGUACUCUCUCGCAGUAGUUAUAUAUAUUAUACCACACCAGGUACUCUCUCGCAGUAGUUAUAUACAUUAUACCACACCAGGUACUCUCUCGCAGUAGUUAUAUAUAUUAUACCACACCAGGUACUCUCUCGCAGUAGUUAUAUACAUUAUACCACACCAGGUACUCUCUUGCAGUAGUUAUAUACAUUAUACCACACCAGGUACUCUCUUGCAGUAGUUAUAUAUAUUAUACCACACCAGGUACUCUCUUGCAGUAGUUAUAUAUAUAUUAUACCACACCAGGUACUCUCUAGCAGUAGUUAUAUACAUUAUACCACACCAGGUACUCUCUUGCAGUAGUUAUAUAUAUUAUACCACACCAGGUACUCUCUCGCAGUAGUUAUAUACAUUAUACCACACCAGGUACUCUCUUGCAGUAGUUAUAUAUAUUAUACCACACCAGGUACUCUCUUGCAGUAGUUAUAUAUAUUAUACCACACCAGGUACUCUCUUGCAGUAGUUAUAUAUAUUAUACCACACCAGGUACUCUCUCGCAGUAGUUAUAUACAUUAUACCACACCAGGUACUCUCUUGCAGUAGUUAUAUAUAUUA